CAGAACAAAUACAAUAAGCUGUAGUUUUUCUCAUGACUAUAGUGUUCCUUUAAAUAUAGAAUGCAGAGUUGUCAUAAAUGGAAAAUUUUCAAGUGGUAAGUGGUGACCCUCAGGGUUCUAUUCUGGAACCGCUUCUAUUCAACACUUUUUUACAAAUGAUUCGAGUCUUGAAAUUAGCAUUGAGUCAUGUUUCAGUGUUUGGAGAUGAUACAAAACUCUAUAUAAAGUAAUACAAUGUAAGCAGGAUAUUACUUAGCUGCAGAG
Non-coding RNA from Pelobates cultripes (western spadefoot toad), 264 nucleotides. The record is from the annotation of a GenBank genome assembly. Lineage: Eukaryota; Metazoa; Chordata; Amphibia; Anura; Pelobatidae.